CUACCCUGCAGGGAUAAAUACUAGUUGUCAAAUAAUCUAACUACUAUGCAUCAGAUUCAUACUUGUUUAAGUUAACUAGUUCUACUAGUUCAUUUAGGCACGAUGAAUAUCUACUUCACCAAGCAAAAAAAAAAACUAAAUAAAAUACAAUUCAGUUUGCCGGCUGCAAGAAUCGGAACGAGACCCAAAUGCACCACAGUGAAGACCUCUAACCACUUGUUCUGAUUCAUAGAGAAACGAAAUCUGCGUAUUUCAACAGAACUUUUUAGGAAAUGAAACUCAGCCGUGUCAUCCUAAAAACAAAAACAACAAACGACUUGAAGUGGGGCUCGAACCAAGGAUUUAACGUGCAACAGAGAUAACUUCUAACCACUCGGCUAUAAUGACGAUGGGACGAUGAAUGUAAUUUUGCGCACAACAGAGCAGAAAAUGGAAUUCAGCCGAUAUAACAACAAAAAAAAGUGGUGGAAGUUGUUAUUUCUCCCAUUAUUGGUGGACUUCUUUUCAAAUAACGAACUGGGUAGAUGCUCCGACCAAGCAUGGUCAGACUACGAAAAAUAUAGAAAAUUUUGAGCAGUCCUAAUGCAACUUCAAAUAUAUAGAUUGAUACCUGAUAUACU
Molecule: long non-coding RNA, 620 nt
Organism: Ceratitis capitata (Mediterranean fruit fly)
Lineage: Eukaryota; Metazoa; Arthropoda; Insecta; Diptera; Tephritidae
Exons: 3
Source: RefSeq, a predicted model, not a curated record